This 472-nucleotide ribosomal RNA is filed under the name uncultured bacterium. RNAcentral describes it as "bacterial SSU rRNA". It matches the Rfam family "Bacterial small subunit ribosomal RNA", at positions 355 to 825 of the family's 1533-position model. The record is from RNAcentral.
UGGGGAAUUUUGGACAAUGGGGGAAACUCUGAUCCAGCCAUCCCGCGUGUGCGAUGAAGGCCUUCGGGUUGUAAAGCACUUUUGGCAGGAAAGAAACGUCAUGGGUUAAUACCCCGUGAAACUGACGGUACCUGCAGAAUAAGCACCGGCUAACUACGUGCCAGCAGCCGCGGUAAUACGUAGGGUGCAAGCGUUAAUCGGAAUUACUGGGCGUAAAGCGUGCGCAGGCGGUUCGGAAAGAAAGAUGUGAAAUCCCAGAGCUUAACUUUGGAACUGCAUUUUUAACUACCGGGCUAGAGUGUGUCAGAGGGAGGUGGAAUUCCGCGUGUAGCAGUGAAAUGCGUAGAUAUGCGGAGGAACACCGAUGGCGAAGGCAGCCUCCUGGGAUAACACUGACGCUCAUGCACGAAAGCGUGGGGAGCAAACAGGAUUAGAUACCCAAGUAGUCCCUGAGCGGGCUGGCAAGGCGCAU